CGGGGCGUAGCGCAGUCUGGUAGCGCAUCUGGUUUGGGACCAGAGGGUCGUAGGUUCGAAUCCUAUCGCCCCGA
This is a transfer RNA of 74 nucleotides. It matches the Rfam family "tRNA". Rfam says of the family: Transfer RNA (tRNA) molecules are approximately 80 nucleotides in length. Their secondary structure includes four short double-helical elements and three loops (D, anti-codon, and T loops). Further hydrogen bonds mediate the characteristic L-shaped molecular structure. tRNAs have two regions of fundamental functional importance: the anti-codon, which is responsible for specific mRNA codon recognition, and the 3' end, to which the tRNAs corresponding amino acid is attached (by aminoacyl-tRNA synthetases). tRNAs cope with the degeneracy of the genetic code in two manners: having more than one tRNA (with a specific anti-codon) for a particular amino acid; and 'wobble' base-pairing, i.e. permitting non-standard base-pairing at the 3rd anti-codon position. The record is from Rfam.